Molecule: ribosomal RNA, 253 nt
Filed under: uncultured bacterium
Lineage: Bacteria
Description: partial 16S ribosomal RNA
Rfam family: Bacterial small subunit ribosomal RNA
Source: RNAcentral
UACGUAGGGUGCAAGCGUUAAUCGGAAUUACUGGGCGUAAAGCGUGCGCAGGCGGUUUUGUAAGUCUGUCGUGAAAUCCCCCGGGCUCAACCUGGGAAUUGCGAUGGAGACUGCAAGGCUAGAAUCUGGCAGAGGGGGGUAGAAUUCCACGUGUGAGCAGUGAAAUGCGUAGAGAUGUGGAGGAACACCGAUGGCGAAGGCAGCCCCCUGGGUCAAGAUUGACGCUCCAUGCACGAAAGCGUGGGGAGCAAAC